UACAGAGGUCCCAAGCGUUGUUCGGAUUCACUGGGCGUAAAGGGUGCGUAGGUGGUUUGUUAAGUCCGGUGUGAAAUCUCCGAGCUCAACUCGGAAAUGGCAUUGGAUACUAGCAGACUUGAGGGUCGGAGGGGAGACUGGAAUUCUCGGUGUAGCAGUGAAAUGCGUAGAUAUCGAGAGGAACACCAGUGGCGAAGGCGAGUCUCUGGACGACUCCUGACACUGAGGCACGAAAGCUAGGGGAGCAAACAGG
RNAcentral lists this ribosomal RNA (253 nucleotides) under uncultured bacterium. Its description in RNAcentral is "partial 16S ribosomal RNA". It matches the Rfam family "Bacterial small subunit ribosomal RNA", at positions 524 to 776 of the family's 1533-position model. The record is from RNAcentral.